UUCUCACUCCCAACUCGUCACAUACUGACGCUUGGUCAGGAACCCUCGGCGUCAGUUAUUGACGCACAGGGUACCCCUUUAGCGUCAUAUUUAGACGUGCAGGGAUUCCCUAUAGAAUCUGUGCCUGAGCCUGAGGCGUCAUAUGGAGACGCUGGAGGCUCGUAUAAUUACCAAUAGAUGUCAACGCAAUUUUUAAAACCUGAUUUACGCCUAUUAUCUUAGUUUUCUUAUUUUAAAAAUAUGUAAUUUUUAUUUUGUUCAUGAAAAGCGUCUGUAAACGGGGUCGAAACUACUGUAUGAAUAAACUUCGGCCCACGUGACAUCCCUUCACGUCUAUGCUCGCUAUCCCAAGGUUCAUUGCGAUCCCAAGGUUCACUGCGGUUUUCCACAAGCCUGUUUCUGCCUAUCACCAUGAGUGAUUCCUCAAUACUCAGAUUUAUCAUCAAGAUCUCAAUUAUAAGCUCAAGUUUUGAUGACAACUUGGUGAUCUGCAGAAAGCACCACCAUGUAAGGAAGGCCAAGACCACUCUGGAAUCAGUCAAGGGUUAGUGAAGUUUUUCAUUCCAUGUAUAUUAAAUAUCUACAUUGUUUAGGCAUAUAUGAUUGUAUGAGAUAAAAUGCAUUUAUUCUUUCACUACUAUUGUAAUAACAGAAAGAAACGCAUUAGUUUUACUAUUACUAUUGUUUAUGACAAACAUUAAAAAACUACAGCAUAAGCUUACAAAAUAUUGUGGCCUAACUGUUUAAAACUAAUUGUUCUGGGUGUUG
RNAcentral lists this long non-coding RNA (768 nucleotides) under Danio rerio (zebrafish). RNAcentral describes it as "si:cabz01069324.1 (ENSDARG00000105326.2)". Lineage: Eukaryota; Metazoa; Chordata; Actinopteri; Cypriniformes; Danionidae. The record is from RNAcentral.